UACGUAGGGUGCAAGCGUUGUCCGGAAUCAUUGGGCGUAAAGAGCGUGUAGGCGGCUCGGUAAGUCCGCUGUGAAAGUCCAGGGCUCAACCCUGGAAUGCCGGUGGAAACUGUCGAGCUCGAGUCCGGAAGAGGCGAGUGGAAUUCCUGGUGUAGCGGUGAAAUGCGCAGAUAUCAGGAGGAACACCAAUGGCGAAGGCAGCUCGCUGGGACGGUACUGACGCUGAUAGCGCGAAAGCCAGGGGAGCAAACGGG
Molecule: ribosomal RNA, 254 nt
Filed under: uncultured bacterium
Lineage: Bacteria
Description: partial 16S ribosomal RNA
Rfam family: Bacterial small subunit ribosomal RNA
Source: RNAcentral